GGAUUAGAUACCCUGGUAGUCCACGCUGUAAACGAUGUCAACUAGCCGUUGGGAACCUUAGUGUUCUUAGUGGCGUAGCUAACGCGCUAAGUUGACCGCCUGGGGAGUACGGUCGCAAGAUUAAAACUCAAAUGAAUUGACGGGGGCCCGCACAAGCGGUGGAGCAUGUGGUUUAAUUCGACGCAACGCGAAGAACCUUACCUGGUCUUGACAUCCUCAGAACUUUCCAGAGAUGGAUUGGUGCCUUCGGGAACUGAGUGACAGGUGCUGCAUGGCUGUCGUCAGCUCGUGCCG
Molecule: ribosomal RNA, 294 nt
Filed under: uncultured bacterium
Lineage: Bacteria
Description: partial 16S ribosomal RNA
Rfam family: Bacterial small subunit ribosomal RNA
Source: RNAcentral